This 573-nucleotide ribosomal RNA is filed under the name Trichoderma harzianum. RNAcentral's name for it is "eukaryotic LSU rRNA". The stretch from base 185 to 338 matches the Rfam family "5.8S ribosomal RNA". Lineage: Eukaryota; Fungi; Ascomycota; Sordariomycetes; Hypocreales; Hypocreaceae. The record is from RNAcentral.
UCCAACCCAUGUGACGUUACCAAACUGUUGCCUCGGCGGGAUCUCUGCCCCGGGUGCGUCGCAGCCCCGGACCAAGGCGCCCGCCGGAGGACCAACCAAAACUCUUAUUGUAUACCCCCUCGCGGGUUUUUUUAUAAUCUGAGCCUUCUCGGCGCCUCUCGUAGGCGUUUCGAAAAUGAAUCAAAACUUUCAACAACGGAUCUCUUGGUUCUGGCAUCGAUGAAGAACGCAGCGAAAUGCGAUAAGUAAUGUGAAUUGCAGAAUUCAGUGAAUCAUCGAAUCUUUGAACGCACAUUGCGCCCGCCAGUAUUCUGGCGGGCAUGCCUGUCCGAGCGUCAUUUCAACCCUCGAACCCCUCCGGGGGGUCGGCGUUGGGGAUCGGCCCUCCCUUAGCGGGUGGCCGUCUCCGAAAUACAGUGGCGGUCUCGCCGCAGCCUCUCCUGCGCAGUAGUUUGCACACUCGCAUCGGGAGCGCGGCGCGUCCACAGCCGUUAAACACCCAACUUCUGAAAUGUUGACCUCGGAUCAGGUAGGAAUACCCGCUGAACUUAAGCAUAUCAAUAAGCGGAGGAA